This 506-nucleotide ribosomal RNA is filed under the name uncultured bacterium. Its description in RNAcentral is "partial 16S ribosomal RNA". It matches the Rfam family "Bacterial small subunit ribosomal RNA", at positions 29 to 523 of the family's 1533-position model. The record is from RNAcentral.
AGUGAACGCUGGCGGUAGGCCUAACACAUGCAAGUCGAACGGCAGCACAGGAGAGCUUGCUCUCUGGGUGGCGAGUGGCGGACGGGUGAGGAAUACAUCGGAAUCUACUUUUUCGUGGGGGACAACGUAGGGAAACUUACGCUAAUACCGCAUACGACCUACGGGUGAAAGCAGGGGACCUUCGGGCCUUGCGCGGUUGAAUGAGCCGAUGUCGAAUUAGCCAGUUGGCGGGGUAAAGGCCCACCAAGGCGACGAUCCGUAGCUGGGCUGAGAGGAUGAUCAGCCACACUGGAACUGAGACACGGUCCAGACUCCUACGGGAGGCAGCAGUGGGGAAUAUUGGAAAAUGGGCGCAAGCCUGAUCCAGCCAUACCGCGUGGGUGAAGAAGGCCUUCGGGUUGUAAAGCCCUUUUGUUGGGAAAGAAAUCCAGCUGGCUAAUACCCGGUUGGGAUGACGGUACCGUAAGAAUAAGCACCGGCUAACUACGUGCCAGCAGCCGCCGUAA